AGUGAACGCUGGCGGUAGGCCUAACACAUGCAAGUCGAACGGCAGCACAGUAAGAGCUUGCUCUUACGGGUGGCGAGUGGCGGACGGGUGAGGAAUACAUCGGAAUCUACUUUUUCGUGGGGGAUAACGUAGGGAAACUUACGCUAAUACCGCAUACGACCUACGGGUGAAAGCAGGGGAUCUUCGGCCCUUGCGCGUUUGAAUGAGCCGAUGUCGGAUUAGCUAGUUGGCGGGGUAAAGGCCCACCAAGGCGACGACCCGUAGCUGGUCUGAGAGGAUGAUCAGGCACACUGGAAAUGAGAAACGGUCCAGACUCCUAAGGGAGGCAGCAGUGGGGAAUAUUGGACAAUGGGCGCAAGCCUGAUCCAGCCAUACCGCGUGGGUGAAGAAGGCCUUCGGGUUGUAAAGCCCUUUUGUUGGGAAAGAAAAGCAGCAGGUUAAUACCCCGCUGUUCUGACGGUACCCAAAGAAUAAGCACCGGCUAACUUCGUG
RNAcentral lists this ribosomal RNA (492 nucleotides) under uncultured bacterium. RNAcentral's name for it is "partial 16S ribosomal RNA". It matches the Rfam family "Bacterial small subunit ribosomal RNA", at positions 29 to 507 of the family's 1533-position model. The record is from RNAcentral.